CUGUCCCCCCGAGCUGUGGUGGCUGCCCAGGGGGUCACACACCUGGCUCAGGCCGGCCGGGCUCAGCUGGGCUUGGGGUAAUUCUGGGGACGCUGACGGCGCUGUCCCCGCAGGGGCUGAGGCGCCAUGGCCCGCAGCCAGCCGCGGAAGCGAUCGCGGAGCCGGAGCCGGCAGGAGAGGAAGGAGAAGAAGCGCAGGAAGAGCAGCAGGGACCCGCAGCCCGGCAGCAGCUCGCCCGGGAGGCAGCCCUCAGGGCCUCACAGGCGCAGGUCGAGCUCAGCAGCUGCAAAGGAAGAAAAGAAGAAGGAAGGAAAGAGCAAAAAGAAGAGGAAGGCGAGCACAUCUUCCUCUGAGACAUCUUCCUCCUCCAGCUCCUCGUCUUCAUCUUCUUCCAGCUCCUCCUCCGAGGACUCCAGUGACAGUGAGCCCAAAGCGAAGAAGAGUCGAAACAGCAAAAAGAAGCGAGUAAAACACAAAGACAAAAAGAAGAAGAGAAUGAAAAAGAAAUCAAAAAAGAAGUCAAAAGAAAAAGCUAAGGAGGAGAGAGUCAAGGCAGAAGUGGUGCCCGGCCCCUCGCUGGAGCAGUGGCAGAAGGAGUCGCUGGUGGACUCCGGGCCAGUCCUGACAGACGAACAGAAAUCCCGCAUCCAGGCGAUGAAGCCGAUGACGAAGGAGGAAUGGGAUGCGAGGCAGAGCGUCAUACGGAGAGUCGUGGACCCCGAAACGGGGAGAACCAGGCUUAUUAAGGGAGAUGGAGAAGUUCUAGAAGAAAUUGUCAGCAAGGAGAGGCACAAAGAGAUUAACAAGCAAGCCACCCGGGGGGACGGGCUGGCCUUCCAGGUGCGGACGGGGAUGCUGCAGUGAGAGCCUGGGCUCCAGCCCUGCUGGGGGCCCCGGCUCCGCGCUGACGACUGGGACCCUGCAGGCAGCACCGCAUCAGGACGCUUCCCGGGGCAGUUUCCACCCGCUCUGCUUUGUGACUCGUGUUUCUAGCGGCUCCCAAAGAAGCAGACGAGAGACGAGCCUUCCCGUUUCUUUAAUCUGUGUAACUCACAAUGAUACUGUACACAAAGCACACCCAGGCAUUGGAACGAUGCACUAACAGCAAGGAGGAGAAGGAAAGUCGUACAGAAGGUUUGUCACACACAAGCACGUCACCUGCACGGUGCUGCGCACACAGGGGCGUACCCAGCGCGGCCCCGGGAGCGCCGGCUCGGGCUGCUGCUUGGCCCGGGCUGCGGGCGGGCGGCCGGCGCCCUCGGGCAUGCCCUCCGGUGGUUCCCCGCACGCGCGUCUGUUACCCCCCAAAAGCAAUUUUUUAUAAAUAAAAUAUAAUUAACAUCGUCGAAUAUAAAAUUGACAGUCGAGGGUAUCGACAGGCAGAGGGUGCUCAGGACGGGGAAGGGACCGUAAGGCUUCUAGAACUAAUAGGAAAUGCAGCAAACGGUGGCAAUACCUGAAGAAGGGGCUGCUACAGCAAGCACGGCGGCUGCUGGGCGGAGCGGGCGUUUGUUAGUAACCCUUUGGCUAGUUACUGCUCUCGGCUCGCGUAUCGGACACUGUAAACGUUUUUGGUAUCAGAAUUUCGCCUCAUCUGACGGCGUGAGCUGGCCACCCGGGGAAACAACUCGGCGUGAACGCAUGGGGGUCCUUUUUUUUUUUUUUUUUAAAAGACUCGAAAGGGACAGCGUCAGGUAGAAAGUCUGGCCCAAUAGUUCCGUGAUACAAAAAGCUUUUUAUAAAAAUCUGAGCUCCACGGCAGAGUUUGAUUCCCAUGGAAACAAUUA
RNA transcript from Oxyura jamaicensis (ruddy duck), 1787 nucleotides. It is a transcript of the gene named ADP ribosylation factor like GTPase 6 interacting protein 4, with no coding region annotated. Lineage: Eukaryota; Metazoa; Chordata; Aves; Anseriformes; Anatidae. The transcript is spliced from 6 exons. The record is from RefSeq and is a predicted model, not a curated record.